AAAUUUUUUAUUUUCUUAAUUGAAAGAACUCUUUAAGCUGUAGUGUAACUUAUUUUUCAGUUUCUUGUUUUUAUGGUUUGUUCCCGAGAUAUUUCAAUUUGUUUGACAUGUAAAUGAGUGUGAAUAUGUCCGCUAAUUUAUGACGUCACGUUGGUUGCAGGCUCCUUAAAAUGGUUGAAUAUCUCUGCUAUCAUCCAGGAUAAUAAUUUCAAACUUCACUCACUGGUAAAUGUGAUGAAAUACACGUCAAAAACGUAAACUGAUAUCUACAGUUUUUAGAGUUAAUAGAUUUAUAAUCAGUGUAAGUUGAGCUUGCAACCAACGUGAUGUCAUAAAUU
Molecule: non-coding RNA, 338 nt
Organism: Paramuricea clavata
Lineage: Eukaryota; Metazoa; Cnidaria; Anthozoa; Malacalcyonacea; Plexauridae
Source: the annotation of a GenBank genome assembly